AGCACAUGGCGUCCAUCUUACUGAGGAGCUGCCGCGGCCGGGCGCCGGCCCGUCUCCCGCCGCCGCCUCGGGUCACCGUCCCGCGGGGUAGUCCGGGGGAUCCGGCUCAUCUCAGCUGUGCCAACACCCUGGGGUUGAGGAGCUGCCUGAAUGUUCCAUUUGGCUGCUGCACUCCCAUCCACCCUGUGUACCCAUCCUCCAGAGGCGAUCACCUUGGCUGUUGGACUCUGAGGCCCGAGUGCCUUCGCACGGUGUCGAGAGCGCCAUGGACCUCUACCUCUGUGGGUUUUGUGGCUGUGGGACCUCAGUGCCUUCCUGUGCGUGGCUGGCACUCUUCGCGCCCUGUUCGCGAUGACUCGGUAGUAGAGAAGUCCCUCAAGUCCUUGAAGGACAAGAACAAGAAGCUGGAGGAAGGCGGCCCGGUGUACAGCCCCCCCGCAGCGGUGGUGGUGAAGAAGCCUCUGGGGCAGAGGGUGCUGGACGAGCUGAAGCACUACUACCACGGCUUCCGCCUGCUGUGGAUUGACGCCAAGAUCGCCGCACGCACGCUCUGGCGCAUCCUCAAUGGCCACACCCUCACCCGCCGGGAGCGCAGGCAGUUUCUCCGGAUCUGCGCUGACCUCUUCCGCCUGGUGCCAUUCCUUGUGUUCGUGGUGGUGCCGUUCAUGGAGUUUCUGCUGCCUGUUGCUGUGAAGCUCUUCCCCAACAUGUUGCCAUCCACAUUUGAGACUCAGUCACUCAAGGAGGAGAGGCUGAAGAAGGAGCUUCGGGUCAAGCUGGAGCUGGCCAAGUUCCUCCAGGACACCAUCGAGGAGAUGGCCUUGAAGAACAAGGCAGCCAAGGGCAGCGCCACCAAAGACUUCUCUGUGUUUUUCCAGAAGGUGCUGUGAUACAUCUGAGUCCCUGUGACCUCACCAGGGAGCCUUCCCUGAUUUUCUGUUUCCCCUUCGCUGUGCUCAGCAGAGUGGAGCUCCCCCAAGUGCUGGCUGGCGCUUGAGAGUUUACCCAGGAGGCUCAGUUGGGGGCCAGUGGAGUGUCAGGAGUCUGGCCCCCAUGAGCUCCCAGUGAGUUGAGCUGUGGUGGCUGCACCUCGUCAGCCUUCAGAAUUAUGGGUGUCUGUGUCUUGUCACCCUGCAGCUGUCCAGGAGCAGUAGAAUCUGACCCAUGAGGAGCCUGAGACCCUGAUGUUGUGAGGUGUGGGUGGCUUGGCCGGGCUCCUCUGCUGGGCACUGCCCUCUGGCUGGAGUCAGUCAAGAAGGUCCCAGGUCCCAGGGGCUGGUCAGAGGCCUGGACUGUGGGAGCAGUGGGGGCUGGAGAGGAGGAGCGGCCCUCGAGGUUUCCUGCGGUCAUGUGGCCAGUGAGGUGAGGAUGGGGGAGAGAGCAGGUGCCAUGGACGAGAUCCCUGAGGACUAGAUGGGGUUGACGAGUCCAGUGUCGUUGGCUUGAGGGACUUCUGCCACUUUGGAGUGAGAAGGAUGUGUCUAAAGUGCAGGAAGAGCUUAAACCAGGGACUAGAAACUCCAGCCAUGUGUGUGCGUUGUCUGUGGGGUUUUCCCGCUGCAGCACAGAGGCGAGUGGUUUCCAUGGCUGCAAAGCCAGAAAUACUUGCUGUCUGGCCUUUGACAGA
RNAcentral lists this small RNA (1627 nucleotides) under Pongo abelii (Sumatran orangutan). RNAcentral describes it as "retained intron". The record is from RNAcentral. Lineage: Eukaryota; Metazoa; Chordata; Mammalia; Primates; Hominidae.